UCUUAUCCGGACCUCAUCGUCGCCGGUAUUAGCGACGGCACUAUCGCCUCUUACUCCAUCUCCUCUUGCCUCGAUUUGAGCUCCGCGGGCAAUUCGUUGGUGC
Nicotiana attenuata is the source of this 103-nucleotide long non-coding RNA. RefSeq lists it as uncharacterized. NCBI's taxonomy places the organism in Eukaryota, Viridiplantae, Streptophyta, Magnoliopsida, Solanales, Solanaceae. The transcript is spliced from 3 exons. The record is from RefSeq and is a predicted model, not a curated record.